Molecule: unclassified non-coding RNA, 27 nt
Filed under: Mus musculus (house mouse)
Lineage: Eukaryota; Metazoa; Chordata; Mammalia; Rodentia; Muridae
Description: oocyte_clustered_small_RNA14194
Source: RNAcentral
CCAGACAUGUGAGCCGCUGGCUGGCCG